CUGCCUGGCCUGGGUCCUGAGCAAUCUUUCCUGCCCAGCUAAAACGGCUUGCCUUCAACCAAGAGCAUGUCGGGCUGUGAUGGCCGCACUGUCCCAGGACCUGCUUCCAGCAUGUCAAACCUCUGCGUCACGUGGCCAGACCAUCAAGAGACUUGGCAUAUGUUUACAAGCAUGCCCUGCUUGCUAGACUCAGUAUGCCCAUUUUAAGGUUUUAGUCAUAAUUUUUUUUGUUUUCAUUUAUUCUAGGCUGGUGUGUAACCCAACAUUUCUCUAACAGCCUACUGCGGUGCUGUAUCGGCCAGUAACAAGAAAUUGUAUUGUGGUCGAGCUAUCAGUUUUGUAAGCAACUAAAGCAAGCAGAUUGCCAGCACAAUGUCUAGACAGCAGACCACCUUACAGUAUGUCAUAAUGUAUUCUAGGUGGAUCUUCUGUAUUGCCACUUUCUGGUCUGCAGUUCUGAAGAGUUGAUGGGUUGAGGGUUUGGCUGGGUAGGGGCCGCUUCAUUCCACAGACAGAACGGCUCAUCCUGUUUCAGCUGGUGCUGUGUUCUAUGUUCAGCCUGUGCAACACAACCUCCACAGACUGGCGCUGACUGAGAAUCCCAAUUGCAGAGAUUCUUCCUCUGCCUGUCAGACUCUGACAGAUACUCCCUUUUGGAAGUCAGGCUGGGACUGAAAGGAAAUUAACAAAAACCCCAGCUCCCAGAAUGCCAUCUGCAUAAAGCAUGAGCAAAGCGUCUUCUCAGUGUGUAAGAGCCCUUGCCUUGGAAAAGACAGAUUACUCAACAGUAACAAACCAAAAAUCAAAAGUGCCCCCAACAUCAGGAAAGAAAUGCAGCAGCACGCAUUCCUGAAAAAUAGGGAAGAGUCUUCCCUGCCCCAACCCCAACCAAAAGAGGGGCUCAAGACUUUUUUUAAUGACAGAAACACAGCACUUUAAGGAAUCAGAAGAUAACAGCGUGCCCUGAUUAUUUUAUAAACCAUUUUUAACACUUUUUUUAACUUCUCAACAACCAUUCCUUGCUUAUGCAUGUCUGUUUAUGCAUGCAUGUGUACAUACACACCCCAAGCCCUAGCAAGAUCAGUUUCUAUCUCCUAACCUGCAUUACAGACUAUGUGAGAGUUUACAGUCAUGAGUUCCUAAAUGGAGAGGAGCAGUACGCCGAAAAAGCACCCUAAACUGCUAGAAGCAGUAGACUUACUCAAUCCAUGGAGAAACAUUCAAAGCAUUAAUAACAAGAGAGCCCACAAGCAGGCUCAGCAGAUCACUAAUCCAAGCACCAGAUCUGAAGCAGAGGCCUUGGCCUACCCUUCUGUCAGUCUCCCUUGUGCUCACUUUCUUCUCGGCUGUGUUCAAAUUGUCCAUGCUGGUUCUUCAGGCACCUUCCCUAUCACAUAAUCACGUGCAUCUUAAUCUCUCUGGACAUCUGGCUACAUCUAGCUAGCUUUUAUCUCACUGUUCCCUUUCAUUCACACUAAAUCCUCUGGAGGGCCCACAAGAGGGAAGAACUUUGUAUCCUGGACUUAAUGCUGCCUACCAUUUAGUUGUGGCUUUCCACAGACCAUGACAAUAGAAGUAGUUCGAUCUUUCCUAUUGAGUCUUGCCAUUUCAUUUGCUCGUUACUUAAACAAAAUAUUUUCCAGGAUGCUCUGGGAAUAGCAUCUUCCAACCGUAAUCGGCUCGUUAACCAGACUGAGCAGCUUUCACAAUAUCUGACUACCCUUGAACUCAAAUCAAGUUCAGACACUAAGCUGGUAGGUGUUACUCUGCCUUGCCUCGUGAAUUGCAACUAGGCACAGAAAUCGAGGGGGAGGGAAAAGGUGUGGCAUUUACCAAACAGCCCAGUUGAUUACUGUGGGAGAACCAAGUUUAAAAAUGCUUCUUGGCCAUACUUAAAGACAGGAACUUGAAACCACAUCUCCCACCUCCUGUGGACAUAGUCCACUGCUUCCCUCACACAGACAUACACUUUAAAUCUGUCAAGCAUUCAGAGUUCCCUGUCUGUUUGAAAAGCCCCUCUUCUAAUAAAAAGCCAAAUAUUCAUUAUCAUGGAAUUUCAAACUGCUUACCUGACCCCUUCCUGUUUACAGCUUCCCCAAAACAUCAGAAAGCUCAGCCAUUCUGCUCACUGUGCCAGAGAAAAUUUACAAAGUCAGAAAAGGCAUUUGGCACAUCCACUGUUGCAACACAGCAGAGGGCUGGUGCUGGGCAAGAGAUUCAGGUUAUGUUCUUAACCACACGGUGGGAUUUUAGAGCACAUCCCUCACAAGCACAGUCUCAUCACAGAAUCACUUACCAGUGUGAAGAAAGGAUCAAGCUGGCUUUAGGCUCCUAAAUUCAGGAAGGGCCUUAUACUUGAGAAUCCUAAAUGGACACAUUGCUGUACAGAAUUAGUAUUUAAAGUAUAUUCUUCUCCAUCCCUUCUUCCAAGGCAUUUCUUAAUAGGCAAUGCAGAGAGUUGCACGCUUAUCGUGUUAGCUCCUGUCCCAUGGCAUGGCAGAAGACUGCAGCACUCCCAACACGGGACUGGAACACUGUUCAGUUGUACACUGCAACAAAAAACUCCCUUUGUACAUCUAACUACAAAUCACCACGUUCAUGGGGAAAAAAGUUGCAACCUGAACUUUUAACGGACAUUCUAGAAGAUUAUAGCCUUGCAAUUAAUAAGGUAAAGAUGACCAGUGUAUCAACUUCUUAAUAAACAAUGCUUGUGAAUUAGGAGGCACCACCACAACAUGAGUAAAGCCUAGCCAUUUACCAUUCAUGCUGGGCACACCUGCACCUACGCUAACUGGGGAUUACUUUCAGGCUAGGCAAUAUGCUAAUUAUCCUGUUCAUCUCGCUAAUCAAAAAAUUGCAGCCUGCCAACUCAGCAAGGUAGUGUCCUAUUUUGUUUCUGUUUCACAGAACAUACUCAAGAAGAUGCACACUACUUGAUUUUAAUGGAAGUAAAGGGAGGAAAAGGCAGUGCAGUUCUACACUGCAUAUAGAACAAUGGUGGAAAUGAUCCUCAGUCUUUGGGUUUGAGGGAGAUUGGAUUCUUGUCUCUAAAUCCAUUUUCAGAGGCACAGAAGAAAAAGUAGUAGUUGUUCACCUGACAAAAAAAAAGCCAACUGCCUUUAUUUGGCAAACAGCUUAUGAGAUAUCAGAGAAUUAAAAAAAAAAAAAAAGUACAUCACAACAAAGAUUGCAAACCCUGGAUCUCAGCGUGUAUUUACAGGGUAUAACCUUUAUGUACACAGGCUUCAGUUACAUAGACUACAGGCACAUGAAAUAUAAUAGUCAAAGCUAUAGCUGCAGAGUAUUAGAUAACUGGAACAGCGAUACCUGUGGGAUCAAGGACAACGAGAUUACCUAGCCUGAUCUACUGCCUAAGACGGGAGUUCAGGUCUUGCCACUUGAACUCGUUUGAAUUCAACCAUCUCUUGCUAAUGCAGCUUUUAAUAAGGCUACUGAAGCCUAAACUUGCAUUAUUUCUUUGCUGUCAAGAAACUGUCUUACUUGCAUUAAGAAUGUACCAAACUUCUAACUACUCCAUCUCAUACAUUUCUCUUGGAGGUUGACAUAGCUUAUUAGCCAGUUUGUGGUCCCUAGCUGAUUAAUUUAGCCUGAUCAAGUUAUCCUAUGAGAUAAUCUAAAGCUAGGUUGUUCUAUUAGACUCUAUGAAACAUUGAAUGGAAUUCACAGAUCCAUAGGAGCACAGAAGCCAAAAUAAUACCAGGUGAAGUACAAAGUUCAUUUGCAAAGCAGAGAGUAAUUAAUCUCCUAUUCCCUAACAGCAUCAGGGAUAAGCGGAAGUCAGUUCCAUACCAGCUUGUUGUAUUUCACCCUACUGCAAGUUCACAGUUGAUGAAGUACUGAAAAAAUGACAUGCUGACUUGUAUUAGUCUCUGCUCUCACAAGGGGGUGGCACAAGAAAAUACCAAGAGCACCGUCCUGUGGAGCAUACUGCUCCCUCACUGUCAUCUGCUUCAUAUAAAAAGUAAUGAAGGACAUGCACAGCCUAAGAACCUCACAUAGCCAAAUUAAGUUGGCUGAGACUUUACUCUUAAAAAAAAAAAAAUUUUUUUUUUUUCUUGUAUCAAUGCUUGAUCAGUACUUCCUACCUAUGCAUGACAGGUCUUGCUGCUAUUAUUAACAUUUCCUCAUUUGUUUUUCUGAAAGUUUACAUUACAUUGCAUAUAUCAGCAAUAACACAUUAUUCGGUGGCAGUUUGGGGAGCUCCCUGGAGGAUGGAACAAUGCUGAAAUUUCAACUAAGUUAGGAAGUAACACUGAGACCGCUAUGGCAGCGUCCCAGAAACCAAUGUACAGAUCGUAUGUGCGUGGCAUGGGGCAAAGACAGAACCCUGUUCAUCUCUCCCUCAUCCACUGAAGUCUCCCAGAUGACAGAUGAAGCUGCACCCAGCCACAAUGCAAGCCGUAAUAUAACGUCCCCCUCUUCCAGACCUCCCUCUACAAAUCUCAGCAACACAGACCACUACUCCAAGACAAAUCUCAUAAUGGCAGUUUCUACAUUACCACUAGAAUUAGCUGUGCUAAUUAAAACUGCCUUCGCCAAGAAGAACCAGGUUCUUUACAACUGUUUUUCCUUUAUCCCUAGCUAGGUGAGGUAAAGAAAGCAGGAUCUACACUGCAUGAGGACACCAUCAACUAUGGCCUACCACUGGCAUGUCCUUCCUCGUCAACAAAGUGCUGCACAAGUUCAUGAAAUCCGCUUAAAUUUAAGUUCCUCUGAACAUACCCCUAGAUAUAUCAGCAUGCUACAGAUCCCACAAAACUGCAUCCCCUGGAUUACAUGGUGGUCACAGGGAAUCACUGGAAAUUCAUUCUAUGUGAGUCUCUAUUUUCCCAUUUAUUACUUGUGAAAUUACUUAGAAAUUUAAGGUAAAAAUAAUUCUUUCACUGAGGGAAACUGCUUAUGAAUGCAAGUUAUACAGAACUACAUCCAUGCUGUGUUCUAUUGCCUGAUUUUUGGACUGGCAGGUAGUUAGCGCUGAAUCUGGCAUUGAACAUGUCUAGAAGAAAUAUGCCUGGGCAGCCCUGACUCACACCUACAAGACCCUAAAGCAACAGCAGGUUCUUUCACUGGCUAAAGGAAAGAGUUAAUGGCAGUAAUUCUACACAAAAGCAUAGACUGUGCUUGAACAGUGCCAAUGAACUACACAAUAAAAGAGAAAUGCUCCAUCUCUCCAAAAGAGGUUGUAAGAGUUUUUGGCUGGAGAGAAGAAUCUGACCACCUCUGCCCCAGCUCUGGAACUGCCUUCGGGCCGCAGCAAGAGCUGGAAACCGCUGUUGCCACCUCGUGGGCUCCAUGCUGACUGCUACAGGAUACACACUUCCAGCCACUUCCCGAGAGCAGACAAGCGCUAGUGCCUGGAAGAGCAGAGACUCUCAAGCCAGCAUGCUGAAGAUGUCCAUCUACAACUGAGGAUUCCUCCAGCAGAAAGCCUCCAGGAAGGGACCGAAGUAAUCUAAUAAAAUCAAGAGUGGAAGCUGUGCGUAAGCAGAGACAGCCAGCUGACAUGAUGCACUUAACUGGGUUGCAAAACCAUCUUUUCGAGAGCAAAGAGCGUAAGAUCUUUUCCUUAGAAAUGGUAUCAGCGGCCCAUUUUGGGAAGAAAGCAAGAAGUACUAUUAUAGGACUGAAUCGCUUGCCUUCAGCACAAGCAGAAGACAUUAAAAUUACUUUCCCAGCAUUUCUCCAAGGAUGUACAGCAAUUUGCCUGAGGACUCAGCUUGCCUUUCUCACUAGACUGGCCACCGGUGAUGCCUGACUCGAAGGUGUUGAUUAACCAGCUCUCUCCUUUCUCCCUUUCUCAAAAAUGGGAGAACUUUUCCAUGCCAAAUGGAAGACUUUUAACCACAGACUUCACAGGAACUAUUGCUUCCAUUUUCAGCACCUAAGUCGUAAAAAGCACAGACAGCUAGAGGGAGGGAGCACUGUUGCAAUUCAGCAGCUGUGCAAACGCAGUCUGGGAAUUUUGCUGUUACAACACUCCCUCAAGUUGCACUUUCUUCAUAGUUCAUCCAAACUACACCUCCAACCAGAUCAGAAAGCAAAAUAAAACAGCCUACAAAACAUCAUCAAGCUUAGCAAAAAAUCAAUGGCUUGAGAUCAAAAUACCUAAACCCCACCUUUAACACAAAACUCCAAAUACUCAGAAGCUUUUUAGUCCUGCUGUUUAAUGCACUAGAUAUAACAACUUAUUUAAAAAAAAAAAAAAAAA
This is a long non-coding RNA of Egretta garzetta (little egret), 6229 nucleotides long. RefSeq lists it as uncharacterized. The transcript is spliced from 2 exons. NCBI's taxonomy places the organism in Eukaryota, Metazoa, Chordata, Aves, Pelecaniformes, Ardeidae. The record is from RefSeq and is a predicted model, not a curated record.